This 448-nucleotide ribosomal RNA is filed under the name Maoridrilus michaelseni. Its description in RNAcentral is "partial 16S ribosomal RNA". It matches the Rfam family "Bacterial large subunit ribosomal RNA", at positions 1859 to 2592 of the family's 2925-position model. The record is from RNAcentral. Lineage: Eukaryota; Metazoa; Annelida; Clitellata; Crassiclitellata; Acanthodrilidae.
CUGCCNAGUGAUUAAGUUUAAACGGCCGCGGUAUCCUAACCGUGCAAAGGUAGCAUAAUCACUUGCCUAUUAAUUGUAGGCUAGAAUGAAUGGAUAAACGUAAUAAGAGCUGUCUCGAUCGCUAUCUUAUAAAUUAACAUCUGUAUGAAGAGUUACAAAUUAGUUCGGAGGACAAGAAGACCCUAUAGAGCUUUAUUUUUAAUACAGGUAAGUGCUGUAUUAUAAAUUCGGUUGGGGCGACCAAGGGUAGUAUACAUCACCCUGUACUAUAAUGAUGCAUUAAUCUAAAAAAUGACCCUAAUAAGAUCAUAAAAAUAAGCUACCUUAGGGAUAACAGGCUAAUCCCAUUUAAGAGUUCAUAUCUACAAUGGGGUUUGGCACCUCGAUGUUGGCUUAGGGAGCCCCUUAGCGCAAAAGUUAAGAAGAGAUGGUUUGUUCAACCAAUAAC